GUUUCUGUUCUUACCAAAGCGUCAUCAGCUCCUCUCACUAAUCAGGAAGUAACAUCUUAAUUUGUGCACAUUUUGAAGGAACACAAGCCAAGCAUCACGAUGCCAAGACCUUCUCUUCUCACUUUGAUAUUGGCCAGUGCUCUGACUUCAGUAACUGGUAAUUAUAGUAUCAGACUGGUGAAUGGUAAAAAUGACUGCGCUGGAAGAGUUGAGAUCCUGUAUAAUGGCCAAUGGGGGACAGUAUGUGAUGAUGUCUGGAACAUGAAUAAUGCUGCUGUGGUGUGCAGACAGCUGGGAUGUGGAAGAGCUGUUAGU
Long non-coding RNA from Carassius carassius (crucian carp), 315 nucleotides. RefSeq lists it as uncharacterized. The record is from RefSeq and is a predicted model, not a curated record. The transcript has 3 exons. NCBI's taxonomy places the organism in Eukaryota, Metazoa, Chordata, Actinopteri, Cypriniformes, Cyprinidae.